RNAcentral lists this ribosomal RNA (249 nucleotides) under uncultured prokaryote. RNAcentral's name for it is "partial 16S ribosomal RNA". It matches the Rfam family "Bacterial small subunit ribosomal RNA", at positions 524 to 772 of the family's 1533-position model. The record is from RNAcentral.
UACGGAGGAUGCGAGCGUUAUCCGGAUUUAUUGGGUUUAAAGGGUGCGUAGGCGGCCGAGUAAGUCAGCGGUGAAAUUUUGCAGCUUAACUGUAACAGUGCCGUUGAUACUGCAUGGCUAGGAUUUGGUUGCUGUGGGUGGAAUAUGUGGUGUAGCGGUGAAAUGCUUAGAUAUCACACAGAAUAUCAAUUGCGAAGGCAGCUCACAAAGCCAAGAUUGACGCUGAGGCACGAAAGUGUGGGGAUCAAA